AGAGUUUGAUCCUGGCUCAGGACGAACGCUGGCGGCGUGCUUAACACAUGCAAGUCGAACGGAAAGGCCCUUCGGGGUACUCGAGUGGCGAACGGGUGAGUAACACGUGGGUGAUCUGCCCUGCACUCUGGGAUAAGCCUGGGAAACUGGGUCUAAUACCGGAUAGGACCACACACUUCAUGGUGAGUGGUGCAAAGCUUUUGCGGUGUGGGAUGAGCCCGCGGCCUAUCAGCUUGUUGGUGGGGUAAUGGCCCACCAAGGCGACGACGGGUAGCCGGCCUGAGAGGGUGACCGGCCACACUGGGACUGAGAUACGGCCCAGACUCCUACGGGAGGCAGCAGUGGGGAAUAUUGCACAAUGGGCGCAAGCCUGAUGCAGCGACGCCGCGUGAGGGAUGACGGCCUUCGGGUUGUAAACCUCUUUCAGCACAGACGAAGCGUGAGUGACGGUAUGUGCAGAAGAAGGACCGGCCAACUACGUGCCAGCAGCCGCGGUAAUACGUAGGGUCCGAGCGUUGUCCGGAAUUACUGGGCGUAAAGAGCUCGUAGGUGGUUUGUCGCGUUGUUCGUGAAAACUCACAGCUUAACUGUGGGCGCGCGGGCGAUACGGGCAGACUUGAGUACUGCAGGGGAGACUGGAAUUCCUGGUGUAGCGGUGGAAUGCGCAGAUAUCAGGAGGAACACCGGUGGCGAAGGCGGGUCUCUGGGCAGUAACUGACGCUGAGGAGCGAAAGCGUGGGGAGCGAACAGGAUUAGAUACCCUGGUAGUCC
This 771-nucleotide ribosomal RNA is filed under the name uncultured bacterium. RNAcentral describes it as "bacterial SSU rRNA". It matches the Rfam family "Bacterial small subunit ribosomal RNA", at positions 8 to 796 of the family's 1533-position model. The record is from RNAcentral.